This 77-nucleotide transfer RNA is filed under the name Escherichia coli. RNAcentral's name for it is "tRNA-Arg". It matches the Rfam family "tRNA". Rfam says of the family: Transfer RNA (tRNA) molecules are approximately 80 nucleotides in length. Their secondary structure includes four short double-helical elements and three loops (D, anti-codon, and T loops). Lineage: Bacteria; Pseudomonadati; Pseudomonadota; Gammaproteobacteria; Enterobacterales; Enterobacteriaceae. RNAcentral also lists the same sequence under 4 other names. The record is from RNAcentral.
GCAUCCGUAACUCAGCUGGAUAGAGUACUCGGCUACGAACCGAGCGGUCGGAGGUUCGAAUCCUCCCGGAUGCACCA